Molecule: ribosomal RNA, 233 nt
Filed under: uncultured bacterium
Lineage: Bacteria
Description: partial 16S ribosomal RNA
Rfam family: Bacterial small subunit ribosomal RNA
Source: RNAcentral
CACGGGUGAGUAACACGUAUCCAACCUGCCGUCUACUCUUGGCCAGCCUUCUGAAAGGAAGAUUAAUACAAGAUGGCAUCAUGAGUCCGCAUGUUCACAUGAUUAAAGGUAUUCCGGUAGACGAUAGGGAUGCGUUCCAUUAGAUAGUAGGCGGGGUAACGGCCCACCUAGUCUUCGAUGGAUAGGGGUUCUGAGAGGAAGGUCCCCCACAUUGGAACUGAGACACGGUCCAA